RNAcentral lists this ribosomal RNA (465 nucleotides) under Vreelandella stevensii. RNAcentral's name for it is "partial 16S ribosomal RNA". It matches the Rfam family "Bacterial small subunit ribosomal RNA", at positions 338 to 795 of the family's 1533-position model. The record is from RNAcentral. Lineage: Bacteria; Pseudomonadati; Pseudomonadota; Gammaproteobacteria; Oceanospirillales; Halomonadaceae.
CCUACGGGUGGCUGCAGUGGGGAAUAUUGGACAAUGGGGGGAACCCUGAUCCAGCCAUGCCGCGUGUGUGAAGAAGGCCCUCGGGUUGUAAAGCACUUUCAGUGAGGAAGAACGCCUGGUGGUUAAUACCCAUCAGGAAAGACAUCACUCACAGAAGAAGCACCGGCUAACUCCGUGCCAGCAGCCGCGGUAAUACGGAGGGUGCGAGCGUUAAUCGGAAUUACUGGGCGUAAAGCGCGCGUAGGUGGCUUGAUAAGCCGGUUGUGAAAGCCCCGGGCUCAACCUGGGAACGGCAUCCGGAACUGUCAAGCUAGAGUGCAGGAGAGGAAGGUAGAAUUCCCGGUGUAGCAGUGAAAUGCGUAGAGAUCGGGAGGAAUACCAGUGGCGAAGGCGGCCUUCUGGACUGACACUGACACUGAGGUGCGAAAGCGUGGGUAGCAAACAGGAUUAGAUACCCCUGUAGUC